RNAcentral lists this ribosomal RNA (430 nucleotides) under uncultured bacterium. RNAcentral describes it as "partial 16S ribosomal RNA". It matches the Rfam family "Bacterial small subunit ribosomal RNA", at positions 354 to 796 of the family's 1533-position model. The record is from RNAcentral.
GUGGGGAAUAUUGCACAAUGGGCGCAAGCCUGAUGCAGCAACGCCGCGUGAGGGAUGACGGCCUUCGGGUUGUAAACCUCUUUUAGUAGGGAAGAAGCGAAAGUGACGGUACCUGCAGAAAAAGCACCGGCUAACUACGUGCCAGCAGCCGCGGUAAUACGUAGGGUGCAAGCGUUGUCCGGAAUUAUUGGGCGUAAAGAGCUCGUAGGCGGCUUGUCGCGUCUGCUGUGAAAACCCGAGGCUCAACCUCGGGCCUGCAGUGGGUACGGGCAGGCUAGAGUGCGGUAGGGGAGAUUGGAAUUCCUGGUGUAGCGGUGGAAUGCGCAGAUAUCAGGAGGAACACCGAUGGCGAAGGCAGAUCUCUGGGCCGUAACUGACGCUGAGGAGCGAAAUCAUGGGGAGCGAACAGGAUUAGAUACCCUAGUAGUCC